GAUGAACGCUGGCGGCGUGCCUAAUACAUGCAAGUCGAGCGAACGGACGAGACGCUUGCUUCUCUGAUGUUAGCGGCGGACGGGUGAGUAACACGUGGAUAACCUACCUAUAAGACUGGGAUAACUUCGGGAAACCGUAGCUAAUACCGGAUAAUAUUUUGAACCGCAUGGUUCAAAAGUGAAAGACGGUCUUGCUGUCACUUAUAGAUGGAUCCGCGCUGCAUUAGCUAGUUGGUAAGGUAACGGCUUACCAAGGCAACGAUGCAUAGCCGACCUGAGAGGGUGAUCGGCCACACUGGAACUGAGACACGGUCCAGACGCCUACGGGAGGCAGCAGUAGGGAAUCUUCCGCAAUGGGCGAAAGCCUGACGGAGCAACGCCGCGUGAGUGAUGAAGGUCUUCGGAUCGUAAAACUCUGUUAUUAGGGAAGAACAUAUGUGUAAGUAACUGUGCACAUCUUGACGGUACCUAAUCAGAAAGCCACGGCUAACUACGUG
This 497-nucleotide ribosomal RNA is filed under the name uncultured bacterium. RNAcentral's name for it is "partial 16S ribosomal RNA". It matches the Rfam family "Bacterial small subunit ribosomal RNA", at positions 28 to 507 of the family's 1533-position model. The record is from RNAcentral.